UACGGGGGGGGCAAGCGUUGUUCGGAAUUACUGGGCGUAAAGGGCUCGUAGGUGGCCAACUAAGUCAUACGUGAAAUCCCUCGGCUUAACCGGGGAACUGCGUCUGAUACUGGAUGGCUUGAGGUUGGGGAGAGGGAUGCGGAAUUCCAGGUGUAGCGGUGAAAUGCAUAGAUAUCAGGAGGAACACCGGUGGUGUAGACGGCUCUCUGGACCGUAACUGACGCUGAGACACGAAAGCGUGGGUAGCAAACAGG
Molecule: ribosomal RNA, 254 nt
Filed under: uncultured bacterium
Lineage: Bacteria
Description: partial 16S ribosomal RNA
Rfam family: Bacterial small subunit ribosomal RNA
Source: RNAcentral